RNAcentral lists this Y RNA (101 nucleotides) under Prolemur simus (greater bamboo lemur). Its description in RNAcentral is "Y RNA (ENSPSMG00000023150.1)". It matches the Rfam family "Y RNA". Rfam says of the family: Y RNAs are components of the Ro ribonucleoprotein particle (Ro RNP), in association with Ro60 and La proteins. Lineage: Eukaryota; Metazoa; Chordata; Mammalia; Primates; Lemuridae. The record is from Rfam by way of RNAcentral.
GGUUGGUCCAAGUGCAGUGGUGUUUACAACUAACUGAUCACAACCAGUUACAGAUUCCUUUGUUCCUUCUCCACUCCCACCGCUUCACAUGACCAGUAAAA